RNAcentral lists this ribosomal RNA (252 nucleotides) under uncultured bacterium. RNAcentral describes it as "partial 16S ribosomal RNA". It matches the Rfam family "Bacterial small subunit ribosomal RNA", at positions 524 to 776 of the family's 1533-position model. The record is from RNAcentral.
UACAGAGGUCCCAAGCGUUGUUCGGAUUCACUGGGCGUAAGGGUGCGUAGGCUGUCGGGUAAGUCUGAUGUGAAAUCUCACAGCUUAACUGUGAAACUGCAUUGGAUACUAUUCGGCUUGAGAGUUGGAGGGGGGACUGGAAUUCUUGGUGUAGCAGUGAAAUGCGUAGAUAUCAAGAGGAACACCAGUGGCGAAGGCGAGUCCCUGGACAACUUCUGACGCUGAGGCACGAAAGCUAGGGGAGCAAACAGG